This 1307-nucleotide long non-coding RNA is filed under the name Apteryx rowi (Okarito brown kiwi). Its description in RNAcentral is "lncRNA (ENSARWG00000009690.1)". Lineage: Eukaryota; Metazoa; Chordata; Aves; Apterygiformes; Apterygidae. The record is from RNAcentral.
CGCUCUCCCGCCGAGAGGCUCCGAGCCCGGCCGCGCUCGCCGGUCCCGCCUCUACCCAGCAAUGUGAAGAGUCAGCAAGUUCCCAGCGGCCGCUGAAACCCUCUGCGUCUCCGGGGUCCGUAGUGCGCCGGCGCAGCCUGGCCGGGGCGGCGCGGAGCAUGCUGGGAGCUGUAGUUCUAGCGCCKCUGCGUCCCGCCCGCGGCGCCUGGCCCGGCGCCGGCAGCUGCACUACGACUCCCGGUAUCCCCCGCGCCGCGCCGCGAGGAGCCGAGUUGAAGCGGGUGGCGGCGGAGCGCACCCCCUCCCCCCCGCCAAAAAGCCCCAAACCAAAACAAAAACAAACCACCCCCCCCCCUCAAAACCCCGGAAAUGGCGGUGCCGGGAGGGGGCUGCGAGUGCCGGGGGUGCUGAUCCGGCCGCCCGCUGCCGCGUCCCCCCCCCUUCCCCGUCCCUCCCCGCCCAUGGGCGAGACAUGGACUACGAGUUCAAAUCCAAGCUGGCGGCCGAGCGCGAGCGGGUGGAGGAUCUGUUCGAGUACGAGGGCUGCAAAGUGGGCAGAGGCACCUACGGGCACGUCUACAAGGCCCGCCGCAAGGACGGCUACAGGCAAUGCCAGGUCUGGGUGCACUGAGAGCUGUUGGUGUCAGGGAAGCGCUGGCAUCGCCACCGAGGGAAAGUUAACCUUUCAAAUCCAGCUGCCUGACACAUGUCUGCCUCACUGCUCUUCCCUUUUUUUUUCCCCCCUUUUUUCCCCCCCUCUUUUUCCCUUCCCUCCCCAGGCUGCCGAAAAUGCCCAGCUCUUAGCGAGCCUGGUGGUGGUGAAACACAGGUGGUGUGUACCCCGCUUCGCGGCUCGUGCAGGCCCCCAGCAUGUGCGGCUUCGCCCGCUCUGUGGGUGCACUGGUUGGAGGGUGGCGUGUCGGUGUGCUGUUGCCCUUAUUAUCUCAUUUGUUUCUUCGUAUCAUGUUUCUCAUCAUCUGUUUCACAUUUUAUAUGACUGCAUUCGUGACGUUUGGAUGUGCCGUUGCGAGAGCUUGCAGGGACCGUAGGAACGAGCGAAGACCGGUUGGCGGGGAAAGAUGAAAAGGAAUAUGCACUGAAGCAAAUUGAAGGUACAGGGAUAUCCAUGUCGGCCUGUAGAGAGAUUGCAGUAAGUGUACAUAAAUGAAAGAAAGUGUUUUUACUGACAUUAUAAUUCAACAGAUAAUAUAUUUUUAUUCUCUGAAUUAAAUAACGCAAAGCUUAUCUAAAUGUUUUCCUUGAAGUAUGCAAGCGUGAAAGUUAUUCAAACAUGAGCUUUCCUUAAA